CAUGCAAGUCGAACGGAAUUUACAUGAAGCCUAGCGAUUGUAAAUUUAGUGGCGGACGGGUGAGUAACGCGUGGGUAACCUGCCUUGUACUGGGGGACAACAGUUGGAAACGACUGCUAAUACCGCAUAAGCGCACAGCUUCGCAUGAAGCAGUGUGAAAAACUCCGGUGGUACAAGAUGGACCCGCGUCUGAUUAGCUGGUUGGUGAGGUAACGGCCCACCAAGGCGACGAUCAGUAGCCGGCCUGAGAGGGUGAACGGCCACAUUGGGACUGAGACACGGCCCAAACUCCUACGGGAGGCAGCAGUGGGGAAUAUUGCACAAUGGGGGAAACCCUGAUGCAGCAACGCCGCGUGAGUGAAGAAGUAUUUCGGUAUGUAAAGCUCUAUCAGCAGGAAAGAAAAUGACGGUACCUGACUAAGAAGCCCCGGCUAACUACGUGCCAGCAGCCGCGGUAAUACGUAGGGGGCAAGCGUUAUCCGGAUUUACUGGGUGUAAAGGGAGCGUAGACGGUUUUGCAAGUCUGAAGUGAAAGCCCGGGGCUUAACCCC
Molecule: ribosomal RNA, 551 nt
Filed under: uncultured bacterium
Lineage: Bacteria
Description: bacterial SSU rRNA
Rfam family: Bacterial small subunit ribosomal RNA
Source: RNAcentral